CGACUCUCGGCAACGGAUAUCUCGGCUCACGCAUCGAUGAAGAACGUAGCAAAACGCGAUACUUGGUGUGAAUUGCAGAAUCCCGUGAACCAUCGAGUUUUUGAACGCAAGUUGCGCCCGAAGCCAUUCGGUUGAGGGCACGUCUGCCUGGGCGUCACG
RNAcentral lists this ribosomal RNA (159 nucleotides) under Symphyotrichum boreale. RNAcentral's name for it is "5.8S ribosomal RNA". It matches the Rfam family "5.8S ribosomal RNA". From Rfam's summary of the family: 5.8S ribosomal RNA (5.8S rRNA) is a component of the large subunit of the eukaryotic ribosome. It is transcribed by RNA polymerase I as part of the 45S precursor that also contains 18S and 28S rRNA. Functionally, it is thought that 5.8S rRNA may be involved in ribosome translocation. The record is from RNAcentral. RNAcentral also lists the same sequence under 1 other name. Lineage: Eukaryota; Viridiplantae; Streptophyta; Magnoliopsida; Asterales; Asteraceae.